UGUAAUGUCUAACUUAGCCAAUUUUUAUCUAGAUUUGUGAUUUUGGGCUCGCAAAAUGGCUGCCAAAAGAAUGGACUCACCACACUGUAUCAAAAUUUGAAGGCACAUUUGGCUAUUUUGCUCCGGAAUACUUCAUGUAUGGAAUAGUGGAUGAGAAAACUGAUGUGUUUUCUUUCGGGGUGCUACUGUUAGAACUCAUUACAGGCCGUGAAGCUUUGGAUGAUUCACAGCAAAGCCUGGUGCUUUGGGCAAAGCCUUUGCUCGAUAACAAUAAUGUCAAGCAACUUGUGGAUCCUUCUCUUGGUGAUAAUUAUGACCUAGAAGAGAUGGAUCGUGUCAUCUUAACUGCCUCUUUGUGCAUAGAGCAGAGUCCAAUUCUACGUCCUCGAAUGAAUCAGGCAUGUAACCUUUUACAAGGACAUAAUUUUCAUUACCUUUUGAUCCAUGGUUAAAUCAGGUUCGCAUUCACACAAGUAUUUCAGUGAUAAACCCUGUUUUUCCGCAGAUAAUGACAUUUCUGAUUUCAAUGUGUAAACUAGUGAAUAAUAAAUUCAGAAUUUGAUAUGCAACCAUUUUAAGACUGCUGCUUUUUUAGUUUCUUUGCUUCUUAUUCAUAU
Molecule: non-coding RNA, 617 nt
Organism: Camellia sinensis
Lineage: Eukaryota; Viridiplantae; Streptophyta; Magnoliopsida; Ericales; Theaceae
Source: RefSeq, a predicted model, not a curated record